RNAcentral lists this non-coding RNA (30 nucleotides) under Rattus norvegicus (Norway rat). Lineage: Eukaryota; Metazoa; Chordata; Mammalia; Rodentia; Muridae. The record is from RNAcentral.
UCUCACUGCACCCCUUCUGCAGGCCUAGCA